AACGAACGCUGGCGGCAGGCCUAACACAUACAAGUCGAACGCCCUAGCAAUAGGGAGUGGCAGACGGGUGAGUAACGCGUGGGAACGUGCCUUUCGGUUCGGAAUAACUCAGGGAAACUUGAGCUAAUACCGGAUACGCCCUUCGGGGGAAAGAUUUAUUGCCGAAAGAUCGGCCCGCGUCCGAUUAGCUAGUUGGUGAGGUAAAGGCUCACCAAGGCGACGAUCGGUAGCUGGUCUGAGAGGAUGAUCAGCCACACUGGGACUGAGACACGGCCCAGACUCCUACGGGAGGCAGCAGUGGGGAAUAUUGGACAAUGGGCGCAAGCCUGAUCCAGCCAUGCCGCGUGUGUGAUGAAGGCCUUAGGGUUGUAAAGCUCUUUCGCCAGGGACGAUAAUGACGGUACCUGGAUAAGAAGCCCCGGCUAACUUCGUGCCAGCCGCCGCGGUAA
RNAcentral lists this ribosomal RNA (449 nucleotides) under uncultured bacterium. RNAcentral describes it as "partial 16S ribosomal RNA". It matches the Rfam family "Bacterial small subunit ribosomal RNA", at positions 29 to 523 of the family's 1533-position model. The record is from RNAcentral.